Molecule: long non-coding RNA, 434 nt
Filed under: Helianthus annuus (common sunflower)
Lineage: Eukaryota; Viridiplantae; Streptophyta; Magnoliopsida; Asterales; Asteraceae
Description: hypothetical non coding rna
Rfam family: Small nucleolar RNA R11/Z151 (bases 180-268)
Source: RNAcentral
AUUAGUGCAGUGAUGAAGCAUAUAUUGUGGACUAGAGUUUCUGAUAUUGGGCUCUUCUUCCCAUUUUAUUUUGACGACAAACCCUUGGCUGUCUGAGCACUAUACCUUUCAUCUUAUUCAUAAGUUUUCCACUGAUUUUUUAAUACUCAGAGUUUAUUCUUUUUAUAAAUUUAGGUUAAGAGCUAAUGAUGAGAAAUACAAUUAUCUUAGCGGAUUUCAGUGAGAUUACUUUUAAUCAAUGAUCUGAUUGUUACACACACUGAAGCUCUUCAAUCUCUUUAUUUUAUUUAUUUUUUUGUAUGAGAUGGGAUGUAAAUAAUAAUAGCAGUGAUGAGGCAAAACACAUGAGGAUGUGUUAAGGGAAGUGGACAAGACGAUUAAAACCGUUUUGCCGUGAUCCCCAUUUUAAACGACUUCUCCUUCCACUGAGCUUU